AGAGUUUGAUCAUGGCUCAGGAUGAACGCUAGCGGCGUGCCUAAUGCAUGCAAGUCGAACGGGAACCUUUGGAAUUAUUCUGAAGGGGAGAGUGGCGAACGGGUGAGUAACACGUUGGUGACCUGCCCCAGAGAGGGGGAUAACCAUUGGAAACGAUGGCUAAUACCCCGGAUGUCGUUGCAGUUAGAGAGCAAUGACUAAAGCUCCGGCGCUCUGGGAGGGGCCUGCGGCCCAUCAGCUUGUUGGUAGGGUAACGGCCUACCAAGGCGAAGACGGGUAGGGGGCGUGAGAGCGUGACCCCCCACACUGGUACUGAAACACGGACCAGAUACCUACGGGUAGCAGCAGCAAGGAAUAUUGCCCAAUGGACGAAAGUCUGAGGCAGCAACGCCGCGUGGAGGAUGAAGGCCUUCGGGUUGUAACUCCUUUUCUGGGGGAAGAGAAGGACGGUACCCCAGGAAUAAGUCUCGGCUA
Molecule: ribosomal RNA, 474 nt
Filed under: uncultured bacterium
Lineage: Bacteria
Description: bacterial SSU rRNA
Rfam family: Bacterial small subunit ribosomal RNA
Source: RNAcentral